This 497-nucleotide ribosomal RNA is filed under the name uncultured bacterium. Its description in RNAcentral is "partial 16S ribosomal RNA". It matches the Rfam family "Bacterial small subunit ribosomal RNA", at positions 28 to 507 of the family's 1533-position model. The record is from RNAcentral.
GAUGAACGCUGGCGGCGUGCCUAAUACAUGCAAGUCGAGCGAACAGACGAGGAGCUUGCUCCUCUGACGUUAGCGGCGGACGGGUGAGUAGCACGUGGAUAACCUACCUAUAAUACUGGGAUAACUUCGGGAAACCGGAGCUAAUACCGGAUAAUAUAUUGAACCGCAUGGUUCAAUAGUGAAAGACGGUUUUGCUGUCACUUAUAGAUGGAUCCGCGCCGCAUUAGCUAGUUGGUAAGGUAACGGCUUACCAAGGCAACGAUGCGUAGCCGACCUGAGAGGAUGAUCGGCCACACUGGAACUGAGACACGGUCCAGACUCCUACGGGAGGCAGCAGUAGGGAAUCUUCCGCAAUGGGCGAAAGCUUGACGGAGCAACGCCGCGUGAGUGAUGAAGGUCUUCGGAUCGUAAAACUCUGUUAUUAGGGAAGAACAAAUGUGUAAGUAACUAUGCACGUCUUGACGGUACCUAAUCAGAAAGCAACGGCUAACUACGUG